RNAcentral lists this ribosomal RNA (433 nucleotides) under uncultured bacterium. RNAcentral describes it as "partial 16S ribosomal RNA". It matches the Rfam family "Bacterial small subunit ribosomal RNA", at positions 29 to 507 of the family's 1533-position model. The record is from RNAcentral.
AACGAACGCUGGCGGCAUGCUUAACACAUGCAAGUCGAACGAAACCUCCGGGUCUAGUGGCGCACGGGGGCGUAACGCGGGGGAACCUGCCCUUAGGUUCGGAAUACCUCCCUGAGAGGUAUGUUAAUAACGGUGAAUGUCAUCGGACCUAAGAUCUACUGCUUUUGGAUGGGCGCGCGUUGGAUUCGCCAGUUGGUAGGGUAUAAGCAUACCAAGGGCACGUUCCAUGGCUGGUCUGAGAGGAUGACCAGCCACACUGGGGCUGCGACACGGACCAGACUCCUACGGAAGGGAGGAGUGGGGAAUAUAGGGGGAGGGACGAAGGCCUGAUACAGCAGUGCCGCGUAAGUGGUGAAGGCGUUAGGGUUGUGAAGCUCUUUUAGCCGGGAUGAUAGUGACAGUACCGGGAGAAUAAGCACCGGCUAACUACGUG